RNAcentral lists this ribosomal RNA (769 nucleotides) under Cassava witches'-broom aster yellows phytoplasma. RNAcentral describes it as "bacterial SSU rRNA". It matches the Rfam family "Bacterial small subunit ribosomal RNA", at positions 268 to 1046 of the family's 1533-position model. The record is from RNAcentral. Lineage: Bacteria; Bacillati; Mycoplasmatota; Mollicutes; Acholeplasmatales; Acholeplasmataceae.
CCAAGACUAUGAUGUGUAGCCGGGCUGAGAGGUUGAACGGCCACAUUGGGACUGAGACACGGCCCAAACUCCUACGGGAGGCAGCAGUAGGGAAUUUUCGGCAAUGGAGGAAACUCUGACCGAGCAACGCCGCGUGAACGAUGAAGUAUUUCGGUACGUAAAGUUCUUUUAUUAGGGAAGAAUAAAUGAUGGAAAAAUCAUUCUGACGGUACCUAAUGAAUAAGCCCCGGCUAACUAUGUGCCAGCAGCCGCGGUAAUACAUAGGGGGCAAGCGUUAUCCGGAAUUAUUGGGCGUAAAGGGUGCGUAGGCGGUUAAAUAAGUUUAUGGUCUAAGUGCAAUGCUUAACAUUGUGAUGCUAUAAAAACUGUUUAGCUAGAGUAAGAUAGAGGCAAGUGGAAUUCCAUGUGUAGUGGUAAAAUGCGUAAAUAUAUGGAGGAACACCAGUAGCGAAGGCGGCUUGCUGGGUCUUUACUGACGCUGAGGCACGAAAGCGUGGGGAGCAAACAGGAUUAGAUACCCUGGUAGUCCACGCCGUGAACGAUGAGUACUAAAUGUUGGGUAAAACCAGUGUUGAAGUUAACACAUUAAGUACUCCGCCUGAGUAGUACGUACGCAAGUAUGAAACUUAAAGGAAUUGACGGGACUCCGCACAAGCGGUGGAUCAUGUUGUUUAAUUCGAAGGUACCCGAAAAACCUCACCAGGUCUUGACAUGCUUCUGCAAAGCUGUAGAAACACAGUGGAGGUUAUCAGUUGCACAGGUGGUGCAU